AGAAUUGAUUGUUUUUCUGUGUGCCAAGAAAUGAGUGAUAGUGUUUUUUCAACUGUGGAAGAGACGCCUCCUGUGGCCGACGACUCCCGUCUGCGCAAAUUACUCCAGGAGUUUCAAUUGGAAUCAGUCUUUGAUUAUUUGAAAGCUGCUCAAGUGCCGUAUAGAAGUUUGCAAUACAUGCAAACAGAAGAUAUAAAAUAAGCAAUACCUCCUCUUGGUCUUCGAAUAGAAUUUCGAGAAAAACUUUUCAAUUGGAAAAAAUAACAGUUUGGUUUCAAUGACGAAACAAUUUCUGUGCAAUCCAAAGUCGACAAUUGCUUGACAGGAAAAAAGUUCAAUGGAAAAC
Musca vetustissima is the source of this 346-nucleotide long non-coding RNA. RefSeq lists it as uncharacterized. The transcript has 3 exons. NCBI's taxonomy places the organism in Eukaryota, Metazoa, Arthropoda, Insecta, Diptera, Muscidae. The record is from RefSeq and is a predicted model, not a curated record.